CUAGCUUCAGCGAUGGAUCGGUCGAUUCGCGUAUCGAUGAAAAACGCAGCUAGCUGCGUUAUUUACCACGAAUUGCAGACGCUUAGAGUGGUGAA
RNAcentral lists this ribosomal RNA (95 nucleotides) under Ancylostoma caninum (dog hookworm). RNAcentral describes it as "partial 5.8S ribosomal RNA". It matches the Rfam family "5.8S ribosomal RNA", at positions 1 to 96 of the family's 154-position model. Rfam says of the family: 5.8S ribosomal RNA (5.8S rRNA) is a component of the large subunit of the eukaryotic ribosome. It is transcribed by RNA polymerase I as part of the 45S precursor that also contains 18S and 28S rRNA. The record is from RNAcentral. RNAcentral also lists the same sequence under 1 other name. Lineage: Eukaryota; Metazoa; Nematoda; Chromadorea; Rhabditida; Ancylostomatidae.